This 253-nucleotide ribosomal RNA is filed under the name uncultured bacterium. Its description in RNAcentral is "partial 16S ribosomal RNA". It matches the Rfam family "Bacterial small subunit ribosomal RNA", at positions 524 to 776 of the family's 1533-position model. The record is from RNAcentral.
UACGGAGGGAGCUAGCGUUGUUCGGAAUUACUGGGCGUAAAGCGCACGUAGGCGGCUUUGUAAGUUAGAGGUGAAAGCCCGGGACUCAACCCCGGAAUUGCCUUUAAGACUGCAUCGCUUGAAUCCAGGAGAGGUGAGUGGAAUUCCGAGUGUAGAGGUGAAAUUCGUAGAUAUUCGGAGGAACACCAGAGGCGAAGGCGGCCUACUGGGCUGCACCUGACGCUGAGCCGCGAAAGCCAGGGGAGCGAACGGG